AGUUAAAAAAAUAAAAAUAAAAAAUACUUUAAGUCAUUUUAUGAAUAAUGUACAGAAGAAAAAGUAAUAAAAUUCAAUGUUAAAAAUUUUACUAAGACUUGAAAAACAUACUAAACCCAAAUUUCUAUUCUGUAAUAAUGUGGUUUUAAAGGUAUAUAGACCUGAAAUAGGUAAAGAUUUAUUAUUUAUUUAUUAUUUAUUUAUUUAUUUAUUUAUUAAAGAAAAGCAGACUGCCAUGUGCAGUGCCUCAUUUGGAUGUUUCUGGAGUUUUGGAAGCUUGACUACCCUACGUUCUCCUACAAAUGGACCUUGAAAGCUUGUUUGGAGGUUCUAGCAGGGGAGUGCAGCUACUCGAUGGGAAAGAGCACACCUCUGAAAUCCAG
Long non-coding RNA from Leopardus geoffroyi (Geoffroy's cat), 383 nucleotides. RefSeq lists it as uncharacterized. The transcript has 4 exons. The record is from RefSeq and is a predicted model, not a curated record. Lineage: Eukaryota; Metazoa; Chordata; Mammalia; Carnivora; Felidae.